AGCGGCGGACGGGUGAGUAACGCGUGGGUAACCUGCUCAUACAGGGGGAUAACAGUUAGAAAUGACUGCUAAUACCGCAUAAGACCACAGCACCGCAUGGUGCGGGGGUAAAAACUCCGGUGGUAUGAGAUGGACCCGCGUCUGAUUAGCUAGUUGGUAAGGUAACGGCUUACCAAGGCGACGAUCAGUAGCCGACCUGAGAGGGUGACCGGCCACAUUGGGACUGAGACACGGCCCAA
Molecule: ribosomal RNA, 239 nt
Filed under: uncultured bacterium
Lineage: Bacteria
Description: partial 16S ribosomal RNA
Rfam family: Bacterial small subunit ribosomal RNA
Source: RNAcentral